Molecule: unclassified non-coding RNA, 253 nt
Filed under: uncultured Microbacteriaceae bacterium
Lineage: Bacteria; Bacillati; Actinomycetota; Actinomycetes; Micrococcales; Microbacteriaceae
Description: contains 16S-23S intergenic spacer region
Rfam family: Bacterial small subunit ribosomal RNA
Source: RNAcentral
UACGUAGGGUGCAAGCGUUGUCCGGAAUUAUUGGGCGUAAGGAGCUCGUAGGUGGCUUGUCGCGUCUGCUGUGAAAUCCCGAGGCUUAACCUCGGGCCUGCAGUGGGUACGGGCAAGCUAGAGUGCGGUAGGGGAGAUUGGAAUUCCUGGUGUAGCGGUGGAAUGCGCAGAUAUCAGGAGGAACACCGAUGGCGAAGGCAGGUCUCUGGGCCGUUACUGACACUGAGGAGCGAAAGCAUGGGGAGCGAACAGG